This 2568-nucleotide ribosomal RNA is filed under the name Triticum aestivum (bread wheat). RNAcentral describes it as "partial small subunit ribosomal RNA". Lineage: Eukaryota; Viridiplantae; Streptophyta; Magnoliopsida; Poales; Poaceae. The record is from RNAcentral.
AUGAAUAUCAAGUUGUGUGAGCCAAUUACAGAUUAUGAAAUUGAGCAGGCCUUAUUCAUGAUGCAUCCGGACAGAUCUUCGGGGCCGGAUGGUUUCACAGCUGGUUUUUAUAUUCAUCACUGGAAUUUAUUGAAAGGUACGGUUUGUUCAGCGGUAAGGAAUUUUCUGGAGGGAGGUACUAUGCCUGAUAUUGUUAACUCGACUGUCUUAGUUCUCAUACCGAAAGGUAAGAAUCCGCAGGAAUUUUCUCAGUACCGUCCAAUCUCUCUGUGCAAUGUGCCUUACAAAAUUGCCUCGAAAGUACUAGCUCUAAGAUUGAGACCUUUUCUUGAGGGGUUAAUCUCGGAAGAACAAAGCGCGUUCGUUCCCGGCCGUCUCAUUACGGACAAUGUGUUACUAGCCUAUGAAUGCAUCCAUUAUUUGAAGAGGAAAAGAGGAAAAGCUGCUGCAUGUGCGGUAAAGUUGGACAUGGCGAAAGCCUAUGAUCGUGUGGAGUGGUCAUAUUUGAGAGCAAUUAUGGGUAAGUUGGGUUUUGCUGUACAAUGGAUCGAUAGAGUUAUGGCCUAUGUGGAGACUGUUUCUUUCUCUGUUAGAGUUAAUGGCAACUAUUCUGAAGUUUUCAAGCCAACAAAGGGUAUCAGACAAGGCGAUCCUAUUUCGCCAUAUUUAUUCCUUCUCUGUGCUGAAGGCUUUUCUUGUAUGUUAAAGAAUUAUGGUGUAGGACAUUUAUCAAAGGGGGUGAGAGUUGGUAUCCAUUGCUCUUGGAUAUCUCACUUGUUGUUUGCUGAUGACUGUUUGGUAUUUACACAAGCAACAACGGAGGGUGCUCACAGAUUGCAAGAUGUGUUGGAACAAUAUCGUAUGGGUUCCGGGCAAAUGGUGAAUAAAAACAAAUCGGCUAUAUUUUUCAGCGGCAAUGCAGACGAGGCUAUGAAAACGGCAGUUCAUCAAAAUACGGAGAUUCCGACGGAAGCCUUGGUGGAAAGAUAUUUGGGACUUCCUACGGCUGUGGGAAGAUCCUCUGAUCAGCACUUUGAUCAUAUUGUGGCUACUAUUAAGAAACUUGUUACAAGUUGGGCGCCAAAAUUACUAAACAGUGCAGGCCGUGAGGUAUUGAUUAAAUCAAUUUGCCAAGCUAUUCCGACAUAUUCCAUGAGCUGUUUCAAGCUUUCUAAGAAGUUGUGUAAAAAGGUAAUAGCAGCAAUUGCCCGGUUCUGGUGGGGGGGAGAUGAGACCAAAAGGAAGAUGCAUUGGGUCAAAUGGAAGGAUCUCACCAUACCCAAAGUAUGCGGUGGCAUGGGUUUCAAAGACUUCGUCCUCUUCAAUAAAGCUAUGCUAGCGAAGCAAGGGUGGCGUUUGAUUUGUUACCCGGAGACGUUGUGUGCACGGGUGUUGAAAGGAAAAUAUUUUAAUGAUGGCAAUUUUAUGACUGUAGGGUGUAAGAGAAAUUCCUCACAAACAUGGAGGGCAAACAUUUCUGGCAGGGAAGCCUUGGAGUUGGGCCUCAUUCGACGCAUUGGCGAUGGAUCAUCAACAAGAAUUUGGGAGGACCCAUGGAUCCCUACUAAUCCUGGGCUAAAGCCUAUUGUUAAGUUGCAAUCAUCAGGAAUAAAUUUGGUGGAAGAAUUAUUAAACCCGGACUCGGGUGAGUGGAAUGAGGAGUUCGUGAAAGCAAAGUUUAUGCCAGUUGAUGCUCGGGCUAUUUUGCAAAUUCCGACUGCCCGAUUGGCAGAAGAUGGAUGGGCAUGGCAUUUGGAGAGAAAUGGCAAUUUUUCAGUACGGUCAGCCUACCGAGCUCUUCUGGAAAUGAAUCACUCUAUCAGUUUAGCAUCCAGAUCGAAUGGCGACAAACAAUUGUUUUGGAAAAAGCGGAAAAUGCGAGUACCACCAAAAGUACGUAACUUCUGGUGGAGGGUCAUUAAAAAAUUUAUACCUUGUCGAGCGAUUCUCCAUGAGAGGCAUAUGGAUUGUAUCUCAUUCUGUCAAACAUGUGGUAGAGAGGAGACCAUCAAACAUGCCUUGUUCGACUGUACAUGGGCCAAAUUGUUCUGGCAGGAGUUGAAGAAUCUCACUUCAGUCAAGGUGCCGGAGCUUCACCCAGAUUUUUGGACUGUAGAUCUGAUUGAUAGCAGCAAAGUUUCUUCUGAAGAUGCGGCUGUUAUAUUAUGUGGUGGAUGGGCUGUAGGAUCUGAGCGGAAUGCUCGACACCAUGAAAAGAGAGUAGGAUCCGUGUCUAAAUCUGUGAAGUGGACUGCUGAUAUUGCCUAUGAUCUUACACUAACAGGACAGGCUUCAGGGAAGCAACACCAUAAGGAGCGGCCAAGGUGGAAACCUCCAGCUUCUGGCAUUAUUAAGCUCAAUGUGGAUGCUAGCUUCUCGCCAAACAAUAAUGAGGGAGCUACAGGUGUGAUUGUUCGUGAUCAUUGUGGUGCCUUACUACGGGGCCAAGCCAUCUGGUAUGGUCAGACGGCCAAUGUUUUAAUUAUGGAGGCCCUUGCCGUACGUGAUGGUGUGAGACUCGCCUGUGAUAUUGGUCUAUCAAAGGUUAUCGUUGAGUCUGAUGCCUAG